RNAcentral lists this long non-coding RNA (1283 nucleotides) under Felis catus (domestic cat). RNAcentral describes it as "lncRNA (ENSFCAG00000047459.1)". The record is from RNAcentral. Lineage: Eukaryota; Metazoa; Chordata; Mammalia; Carnivora; Felidae.
CUCUUACAGGUGUGUGGGGCUCACUCAAAGGUAGUGUUCAAAUCCAGGAAAGCCUGAGGGUUGAAAUAUACCAGUUAGCAAAUUCUAAUCUUCUAGUAUGAUUUUCAAAUGCUUGAUCUUCUUUUUUUUUUUUUUUUUUUUUGGAGAGACUGGGAGGUAGUGGGGGAGGGGCAGAGAGAAAGAGGAAGACAGAGAAUCCCAAGCAGGCUCCAUAGCUGUCAGCGCAGAGCCUGACACAGGGCUCAAACCCACGCACUGCGAGAUCAUGACCUGAGCCGAAACCAGGAGUCGGACGCUCAACCGACUGAGCCACCGAGCUGCACCUAUAUCUUCUGUUCUAAUGUGUAACCUUCGUGCAUAGGUUCACCUUACUUCCCUGGGCCUUAGUUUGCCCAUCUGUGAAACAAGAUGGGUUGAUCCUGGGUUGGCACGGAGGAGAACUAAAUUCUCUCUCUCUCUUUCCUUCCCCAGCAAAGGCAGACAUCCCUAAUGAACUCCCAAGAAUGCACUCCUUCUCAGAAGAGCAAUCGGAUAGCCUGCCAGGACUAAGCUACCCAGGUUUGGUUCAGGGCUGAAGCUGUUUGCCAGUCAUGGAGAGUAAAUGCUCACAAAUCAUCUGGGAGGUACGGACAAGAGAAGCAAGGUCCGGGGAAGCUGACUUGCCUAAGACUUGGGAGAAAGGUGAACUGGUGUUGUUGAGGACGGACCCCUGGCACCCGGCUUGGUUUUCCUGAGUGAGGCCUUCUGUUGUCACAGGUGACAUGGAAGGAACCAGAAAUCCCAAUGACCUCUUCUGUUAGUCUUUGACUGAGAUCGGAGAUGUGAGCCUCACUGAAUGAGUAGGUAGAUGAAUGAAUGCAUGAGGCGUGUGAGAGCAUAAGAGAAUGAUAUGGUCGGGCCAAGCGUUUGUCUUCUAAGGCUUAUGAGCAACAGUUAGGCUAUUUUUAGCUGAGUCUUCAGUAAACAGCCUUUAUUUUGACUGCCAAGUGGCACAGUAAAAAUUCUCUAUGGUAACAAGACAGCUUUGUUAUUUUUGAAGAUCAAAGUAUUUUCAAAUGCCAUUCCCUAUUUUUAAAUGAACUAUUGAGACAGCAUUUUUGUUUUCUUUUUGGCUAAAGACUUUGACCAGGUUGAGAAUCAGUAGGUGUUGAACUUUACCUGGUGUUACAUUCUAAGCCUGAGAUGAGGAUUGUCUCGGAAUUCAGGCAGGGCCCUUUGGCCCGUCUGCAAAUGGGCCAUCUCUGCUGGGUCCCUCUCCUACCAUGCAAAGGUCACCCAAGUCC